Long non-coding RNA from Acinonyx jubatus (cheetah), 3488 nucleotides. RefSeq lists it as uncharacterized. Lineage: Eukaryota; Metazoa; Chordata; Mammalia; Carnivora; Felidae. The record is from RefSeq and is a predicted model, not a curated record. The transcript is spliced from 3 exons.
AUUUCAAGGGUUCAGUGAGAAAAUUAGUGUCCGUGUUUGGUAAGGGCUUAACACUGAGCUUUGCUAACAGUAAGUGCUCAGUAAAGUGGAGCUGCUAUAUAACAGUAUUAAUAACUAUUGCUCAGAGACCAGCUACAACCUCAACAGUGAGGCCCCUCUCUGGCAGAAAGAGGGAGUGAGCCCCCCCCCGCCCCCCCUCAGUGGAUACCUGCUCCUGGGCACCCUGCAGCACCUAGAGCUCCGAAAGCCUCUUUCUAGGUUCUCCGGCUCAGGUUGGAGCAGGGGGUGGGGUUUAGCGGGUCCCUAAACGCUGCCUGUUGCAGAGAACUACUCCCUCUCCGAGUAGUUCGAUCUGGAAGGGCAAUUACCCUGCUGCGCAGCGGGGCUCGCUGGAUCUGGCGCGCUCCCCUGUGGUUGGAGGAUCCCCAAACAGCCGCCAGGCCAGCCCCGCCCCUGGGAUCCCGCCAGGUCCCGGAGAGGUGCCUAAAGAGCAGUACGAGAGCCGCCUGCCCACCAACCCCCGGGCGGCAAAGAGAGGGAAAUUGGAUGAGCUUCUCCCCGGGCUUGAGUCCCCGCUCCCAGGCACUGUUUGAUAUCAUCACCCCUCUGCCGGGGCCCUUUCAGAUGUCAAGCUAGGCUCCCGCGUCGCCGAAAGCCGGGCGCCCUCCGGUCCGGGUCUGUUUCCCCACUUCUCCCGGACCAAGGGAUUGGCGCCGGCCAGCAGGUGGCGCUGGCGGCGCUCGGAGACCCAGAGCCGUCUCUGCUCGUCCCGGCGCUGCGGUCAGCCCAGUGCCGCCCGGGGAACCGCGGUCCUGGACGCCGGGCGCCGGCGCCUCCCGGACCCCUGCAGCGCCACGCUGGCGGGAGCCUGCAGCGCUAGGGCCGCGGGCAGGGGCUCCCCCCACCCCGACCCCCCAAGAGCCGGGCGCUUAAAGUCGCCCAUCGGUGUAACAGCCGGGCUGCGUUACCUCCGCGGCGUCCUCGCAGAAAGGCUCGGCUCACCGCCUGAAAGGCCGAAUCUGGGAGUUUUAUGAGUUCCCUACAGUCAGCUGUGACCUGGAAGCAUAUGACCCUCCUUCCAACUCAUCAUGAGGUCAACAGUAGCUUCACGCUGCAUCACAACGCCUACGUCAUUCACCUCACUUCGUCUCAUCACUAGGCAUUUAUCACCUCAUAUUAUCACAAAAGGAAGGAUACCCAGGAAGACUGACGACCAAGAUCUCAUGGGAAAACAAAAAUUGUGAGUCUCCAAGGCAGAACGCUGGAAUGCAAAACUAGUCCAGGGCCUAAGGCAGCUCCACCUACCAAGUUCUUGAUUGCCUUUUCAGCAGACCACACUUCUGCUAGGCAAGUAACUCAUCCUUUCCCUCUCUCCUUCCUCUUUCUCUUCUGCUUUUGCUAUUUUUUCCUGUAUGGGUCAAUUCGGGGAGAGAAUCUGACUGGACUAAUAUGGCCACCGUUGGUCCUGCGGCACAGCUUAACUAGAACCCCAGAUUUGUGCUUAGAGAGCCCCCUUGUGGCCGCUCUCCUAUGUAGGAGGCUUAUGGGCAGACUGGGUAGUGAACCUUUUGGAAAUAGUCCUUUUGUUUAAAAAAAAUCCUUGAUCAAAAUUUCCUCUAUAAACACCAUUUGUUUUCCUGAACAUAAAAGCAAUACCUGUUUGUUUUAGAAAAUUUAGGAAAAUGUGGAGAGGAAAAAAAUUAAAAUGAUCACUUAAUUUUGGUGUAUUUUCUUCGAGUUAAAUAUGCAUGUAUAUAUGCAUACCUACAUGCAUAUAUGAAACAUGUACAAGAUUUAGAAUGAUACACAUUAUAUUCCUUUAAAUUUAUGAUGUAAGAUUUUUCCUAAGUCACACACACAAGAAGAUCUUCAAAAACACCCUUGCUAAUGGCUUUCUCAUCUUCCAACAAGAGAUGAGCCGUCAUCGGCUGCUUCACCAUUGUAGGACAGUUGUUAAUUUUAGCCAGACUUUCUCUGUAUGAAAAUGUAGGCAAGGCGGCUGUGGGGGACGGUUCAGUGUGCUGUGAUUCGGGGCUCUCACCCCCAGGCCUGACUGAGGUGACAGAGCUGGCUUCUGUGUCCAGGCCAGCCCUGGCAGCCCGGACUCCCAUCUGCAGGAACAGAAGCUCAAAGAGGGAGAAGACCUGGCCUGGGGAUUUUUUCGCACACGUUUAUGGGAGGGAGUUGGUGGUAAAGGGUUACAGGAUUAGAGAGCUAAGCUGAAGGGCCGCACCUGGAGGCAGUCCUGCGCACGGAAUUUACAACAGGAGCCUGGGAGUCGUAUAAAUGAGUAAUGCUUCAUGAUGCUCUUUUCCAAGCGAGCUGCAAAAAUUGGCAGGGGCCCUUCAGUGUGCUGUCGAUGUGUCUGGAAUUCAAAUAAUUUGAUUCUGAGAUACAAUGACAAUGGGAAGCAAGGCAUUACCUUGAGAGAAUGAUGGCCGAGACAGCCGCUGCGACCAAUAUUCAUGGAAGAUGCUGUACUAACAACUGUUCUCCAUUUGCCGUCCUCCCUGAAAUCUCUAUCAUGCCUCGUUGCUGUUGCUAUUGCCCUGACUCAAGGGCAUUAAAUUAAAAAGUAAUGUAGCUGGUAAUCCUUUUUUUUUUUUUUUCUUUCCCUAGUCCAGGCAGUGAAGAAUGGGGAACGUGAAAUAAAAACCUUCACUGAAACUGAUAUGUCUCUUUAAAAAAAUGAUGCUGACAUUAGACACAGCUCAGAAGAGCGCAUUUGAAUAUCAGGUGGCAGUACAACGUAUAGCAGAACUUGCUGCUGCUUCUUCUGAAUUUGUCUUUGUUGGCUGAACACGUUAAUAUUUUUCCAAGGUGUAAUAGCUGGGAGGAUUCCAUCAGAAAUAACAGGAGAUCUAGUGAGCCGGGUCCCAUUACCUUUCAGAUCACAAGGCAUCUGGCUUUUGCCAGUUGUCAUUUCCAUCAGGGGAAAUGAUAAGCAGUUUUGGACUUUAUUUGCCCAAAUAUAGCGCUCACACUACCUCUUGUGUGUAAAGUGUUUGGCUUUUCUGAAGCACUUAAAAAAAAAAAAAGCCUUUUUAUCCAUGGCAUAGCAUUCUGGAAAAGAACCCCGGACAGGGACUGUGAGCUAUGGGUCAUGAUUUCUGGUUUGCCAUUGUGGCUUUCUUUCUCUGGAUUUCCUUUCAUCCAUCUAGAAAAGUCUUUCCUUCCAUGUCCCCAGUUCCCUGAUUCUGCUAUCUCAUUUGACUACUUAUUACUAAUAGUAGGAUUGAUAGUUCCCAGAUAUCUUGACUCCACAUUUGCUACAAAAAUCACACUCCUUUAAGGGGUGCCUGGGUGGCUCCGUCGGUUGAGCCUCUGACUUCCGCUCGGCUCAUGAUCUCAUGGCUUGUGAGUUAGAGCCCUGCAUUGGACUCUGUGCUAACAGCCUGCUUUGGAUUCUGUGUCUCCCUCUCUCUCUGCCCCUCCUUUGCUUGUGCUCUUUCUCUCUCUCUCAAAAAUAAACAUUAAAAAAAAUUUUU